This 424-nucleotide ribosomal RNA is filed under the name uncultured bacterium. RNAcentral's name for it is "partial 16S ribosomal RNA". It matches the Rfam family "Bacterial small subunit ribosomal RNA", at positions 360 to 776 of the family's 1533-position model. The record is from RNAcentral.
AAUAUUGGACAAUGGGCGCAAGCCUGAUCCAGCCAUGCCGCGUGUGUGAAGAAGGUCUUCGGGUUGUAAAGCACUUUAAUUUGGGAGGAAGGGCAGUUAACGAAUACUUAAUUGUUUUGACGUUAUCAAAAGAAUAAGCACCGGUCAAUUUCGUGCCAGCAGCCGCGGUAAUAAGAAGGGUGCAAGCGUUAAUCGGAAUUACUGGGCGUAAAGAGCGCGUAGAGGGGUCGGUAAGUUGGAAGUGAAAGCCCCCGGCUCAACCUGGGAAUUGCUUUCAAAACGGGCGAGCUAGAGUACAGUAGAGGGUGGUGGAAAUUCCUGUGUAGCGGUGAAAUGCGUAGAUAUAGGAAGGAACAUCAGUGGCGAAGGCGACCACCUGGACUGAUACUGACACUGAGGUGCGAAAGCGUGGGGAGCAAACAGG